GAUGAACGCUAGCUACAGGCUUAACACAUGCAAGUCGAGGGGAAACGACAUCGAAAGCUUGCUUUUGGUGGGCGUCGACCGGCGCACGGGUGAGUAACGCGUAUCUAACCUGCCCACCACUUGGGGAUAACCUUGCGAAAGUAAGACUAAUACCCAAUGAUAUCCCACGAAGGCAUCCGAAUGGGAUUAAAGAUUUAUCGGUGAUGGAUGGGGAUGCGUCUGAUUAGCUUGUUGGCGGGGUAACGGCCCACCAAGGCAACGAUCAGUAGGGGUUCUGAGAGGAAGGUCCCCCACAUUGGAACUGAGACACGGUCCAAACUCCUACGGGAGGCAGCAGUGAGGAAUAUUGGUCAAUGGGCGAGAGCCUGAACCAGCCAAGUAGCGUGCAGGACGACGGCCCUAUGGGUUGUAAACUGCUUUUAUAAGGGAAUAAAGUGGGUCUCGUGAGACUUUUUGCAUGUACCUUAUGAAUAAGGACCGGCUAAUUCCGUG
Molecule: ribosomal RNA, 492 nt
Filed under: uncultured bacterium
Lineage: Bacteria
Description: bacterial SSU rRNA
Rfam family: Bacterial small subunit ribosomal RNA
Source: RNAcentral